UACGGGGGGGGCAAGCGUUGUUCGGAAUUACUGGGCGUAAAGGGCUCGUAGGCGGCUAACUAAGUCAGACGUGAAAUCCCUCGGCUUAACCGGGGAACUGCGUCUGAUACUGGAUGGCUUGAGAUUGGGAGAGGGAUGCGGAAUUCCAGGUGUAGCGGUGAAAUGCGUAGAUAUCUGGAGGAACACCGGUGGCGAAGGCGGCAUCCUGGGCCAACACUGACGCUGAGGAGCGAAAGCCUGGGGAGCAAACGGG
This 253-nucleotide ribosomal RNA is filed under the name uncultured bacterium. RNAcentral describes it as "partial 16S ribosomal RNA". It matches the Rfam family "Bacterial small subunit ribosomal RNA", at positions 524 to 776 of the family's 1533-position model. The record is from RNAcentral.